Non-coding RNA from Paramisgurnus dabryanus, 783 nucleotides. The record is from RefSeq and is a predicted model, not a curated record. NCBI's taxonomy places the organism in Eukaryota, Metazoa, Chordata, Actinopteri, Cypriniformes, Cobitidae.
AACCUGGCACAGAAUGUGAAAGCAUUCAGACAGCAAGAGUGAAUAUUACCCAGGCUGCCAUUGAGGGACUUGAAUCACCCUCCACAUCAGACCAAGGCACAACUUUUACGCAAAUAAUUGGUGAACAACAGGAUGUACAAAUGCAAACAGAUGUACAGGAAAUAUCUGUGAGACAGCCAGAAGACAACAUAUCGCUAACGACUGCUGACCUGCAAGAGAUGACAAACGAAAAGGUAGACCUUUUGUUGGAUGGAGAUGAUCCUGUGUAUCCCGGAGCACCUCUGACAAAAGGGCAGAGUUUACUGUUGCUUAUGUCUUAUAUACUAAGGCACAAUCUUACAGCUGUUUGAGUAGACCAUCUACUGAAGAUCUUCAAUGAGCAUUUUCCAGGCAUGGUGCCAGUAACCAAAUAUCUUUUUCGAAAAGCCUAUGGUCAGUAUGGAAAUUAUGAACCCCAUUUCUACUGUCCAACAUGUGAAAACUACUUGGGGAGAAAUACUGGUGAGCUACAGUGUGACAUUUGUUGUACAGUAACUAAUUCAGAAAGCUGUCUUAAAAGUGGCAGCUUUUUCCUGGUUCUCAGUUUAGCUUCACAGAUCAAAACAUUGCUUGAGCAAAAACAUACAAGUUUAAAAAAAGAUGGGCCAGUUGCAGAUACUAUUUCAGACAUACAAUGUGGAGAUGAGUAUCAAAAGCUUAAGGAAUCCGGUGCAAUGGGUGAAGAUGACAUAUCUUUAAUUUGGAACUGUGAUGGAAUACCGCUGUUCAGGAGUUCCAAGUACC